Molecule: transfer RNA, 71 nt
Filed under: Camelus bactrianus (Bactrian camel)
Lineage: Eukaryota; Metazoa; Chordata; Mammalia; Artiodactyla; Camelidae
Also listed under: 2 other names
Rfam family: tRNA
About the family: Transfer RNA (tRNA) molecules are approximately 80 nucleotides in length. Their secondary structure includes four short double-helical elements and three loops (D, anti-codon, and T loops).
Source: Rfam by way of RNAcentral
GAGGAUGUAGCUCAGUGGUAGAGUGCGUGCUUAGCAUGCUCAAGGUCCUGGGUUCAAUCCCUAGGACCUCC